Molecule: ribosomal RNA, 497 nt
Filed under: uncultured bacterium
Lineage: Bacteria
Description: partial 16S ribosomal RNA
Rfam family: Bacterial small subunit ribosomal RNA
Source: RNAcentral
GAUGAACGCUGGCGGCGUGCCUAAUACAUGCAAGUCGAGCGAACGGACGAGAAGCUUGCUUUUCUGAUGUUAGCGGCGGACGGGUGAGUAAAACGUGGAUAACCUACCUAUAAGACUGGGAUAACUUCGGGAAACCGGAGCUAAUACCGGAUAAUAUUUUGAACCGCAUGGUUCAAAAGUGAAAGACGGUCUUGCUGUCACUUAUAGAUGGAUCCGCGCUGCAUUAGCUAGUUGGUAAGGUAACGGCUUACCAAGGCAACGAUGCAUAGCCGACCUGAGAGGGUGAUCGGCCACACUGGAACUGAGACACGGUCCAGACUCCUACGGGAGGCAGCAGUAGGGAAUCUUCCGCAAUGGGCGAAAGCCUGACGGAGCGACGCCGCGUGAGUGAUGAAGGUCUUCGGAUCGUAAAACUCUGUUAUUAGUGAAGAACAUAUGUGUAAGUAACUGUGCACAUCUUGACGGUACCUAAUCAGAAAGCCACGGCUAACUACGUG